RNAcentral lists this small RNA (29 nucleotides) under Bombyx mori (domestic silkworm). RNAcentral describes it as "ovarian small RNA-16680". Lineage: Eukaryota; Metazoa; Arthropoda; Insecta; Lepidoptera; Bombycidae. The record is from RNAcentral.
GCCGAAAGAUCGGGACCCGUCUCGGUCAG